This 595-nucleotide small RNA is filed under the name bovine gut metagenome. The record is from RNAcentral.
CGUUAAUGAAGGUACAUUAUUCUAGUUGAGAACUUCAUUAUGAAGACGGGAUUAAACUACCGUUAAAGAGCAUAUCGAUGAAGCCCUUGGUGUUUGCUUCUUACGCCCAGUUUGGGGUGAAUGCUGGGGGGAAAUGAGAGGAUAGGGCGACCACAAUGGCAUGUGAUUUCGACCCUUAAUCUCGCGGAGACCUGUUUAUGUGUUUAGCCUAUACGAACAACUUCUGAUGGACUAGAUACGGCUCAGGGAUGAACCUGUAUGUGGCGCAAGUUAUGUGCAGUGUAGCUUGUCUUGAGUGAUAGUUUGGGAUUAACCAUUAAUUUUAUAUUUUUCUUAGCCGGAUAAGAAUUAUAUAAUUGUUAUGAAAUAACUAUUGCAAAAAAGAACUAAUAUUGAAGAACUUUUCGAGGAAAUCUCCUAGAGUGUCAACAUAAUAUAGGAUUGCAGUGGGAACUAAGUGGUAAUCAAGUCAUAUAUAUUUUUAUAUAUUAAUUUCUUUAAAUAGGAAUGGCCAAUUUGGUAACGAAUUGGUAGAAAUUAGGGAAAUCCUACUUGACCUAAGUCUCAAAGUUAACUAUAUUAAAACCUUUAUUAU